UACGUAGGGAGCAAGCGUUGUCCGGAAUCAUUGGGCGUAAAGCGCGUGUAGGUGGCUUCGUAAGUCCGUUGUGAAAGUCAAAGGCUCAACCUUUGAAAGCCGAUGGAUACUGCGGAGCUAGAGUACGGAAGAGGCGAGUGGAAUUCCUGGUGUAGCGGUGGAAUGCGCAGAUAUCAGGAGGAACACCAAUAGCGAAGGCAGCUCGCUGGGACGUUACUGACACUGAGGCGCGAAAGCGUGGGGAGCGAACAGG
RNAcentral lists this ribosomal RNA (253 nucleotides) under uncultured bacterium. RNAcentral's name for it is "partial 16S ribosomal RNA". It matches the Rfam family "Bacterial small subunit ribosomal RNA", at positions 524 to 776 of the family's 1533-position model. The record is from RNAcentral.